CACUCCUACGGGAGGCAGCAGUGGGGAAUAUUGGACAAUGGGCGCAAGCCUGAUCCAGCCAUGCCGCGUGAGUGAUGAAGGCCCUAGGGUUGUAAAGCUCUUUCACCGGUGAAGAUAAUGACGGUAACCGGAGAAGAAGCCCCGGCUAACUUCGUGCCAGCAGCCGCGGUAAUACGAAGGGGGCUAGCGUUGUUCGGAUUUACUGGGCGUAAAGCGCACGUAGGCGGACUAUUAAGUCAGGGGUGAAAUCCCGGGGCUCAACCCCGGAACUGCCUUUGAUACUGGUAGUCUUGAGUUCGAGAGAGGUGAGUGGAAUUCCGAGUGUAGAGGUGAAAUUCGUAGAUAUUCGGAGGAACACCAGUGGCGAAGGCGGCUCACUGGCUCGAUACUGACGCUGAGGUGCGAAAGCGUGGGGAGCAAACAGGAUUAGAUACCCCGGUAGUCCCAUGAU
RNAcentral lists this ribosomal RNA (451 nucleotides) under uncultured organism. RNAcentral describes it as "partial 16S ribosomal RNA". It matches the Rfam family "Bacterial small subunit ribosomal RNA", at positions 334 to 801 of the family's 1533-position model. The record is from RNAcentral.